Molecule: ribosomal RNA, 500 nt
Filed under: uncultured bacterium
Lineage: Bacteria
Description: partial 16S ribosomal RNA
Rfam family: Bacterial small subunit ribosomal RNA
Source: RNAcentral
AUUGAACGCUGGCGGCAUGCCUUACACAUGCAAGUCGAACGGCAGCACGGGAGCAAUCCUGGUGGCGAGUGGCGAACGGGUGAGUAAUGUAUCGGAACGUGCCCAGUCGUGGGGGAUAACGCAGCGAAAGCUGUGCUAAUACCGCAUACGAUCUAUGGAUGAAAGCGGGGGAUCGCAAGACCUCGCGCGAUUGGAGCGGCCGAUAUCAGAUUAGGUAGUUGGUGGGGUAAAGGCCCACCAAGCCUGCGAUCUGUAGCUGGUCUGGGAGGACGAUCAGCCACACUGGGACUGAGACACGGCCCAGACUCCUACGGGAGGCAGCAGUGGGGAAUUUUGGACAAUGGGCGCAAGCCUGAUCCAGCAAUGCCGCGUGCAGGAUGAAGGCCUUCGGGUUGUAAACUGCUUUUGUACGAGACGAAGAGACUCGCUCUAAUACAGUGGGUACAUGACGGUAUCGUAAGAAUAAGCACCGGCUAACUACGUGCCAGCCGCCGCCGUAA